Molecule: ribosomal RNA, 255 nt
Filed under: uncultured bacterium
Lineage: Bacteria
Description: partial 16S ribosomal RNA
Rfam family: Bacterial small subunit ribosomal RNA
Source: RNAcentral
GACAGAGGGUGCAAACGUUUGUUCGGAAUUACUGGGCGUAAAGCGUGUGUAGGCGGCCACGUAAGUCGGAUGUGAAAGCCCCCAGGCUCAACCUGGGAAGUGCACUCGAUACUGCGUGGCUUGAGUAUCGGAGAGGUUGGUGGAAUUCUCGGUGUAGAGGUGAAAUUCGUAGAUAUCGAGAGGAACACCGGUGGCGAAGGCGGCCAACUGGACGAAUACUGACGCUGAGACACGAAAGCGUGGGGAGCAAACAGG